This 264-nucleotide ribosomal RNA is filed under the name uncultured prokaryote. RNAcentral's name for it is "partial 16S ribosomal RNA". It matches the Rfam family "Bacterial small subunit ribosomal RNA", at positions 524 to 788 of the family's 1533-position model. The record is from RNAcentral.
UACGUAGGGGCGAGCGUUGUCCGGAAUUAUUGGGCGUAAAGAGCUUGUAGGCGGUUUGUCGCGUCUGCUGUGAAAAUCCGGGGCUCAACCCCGGACUUGCAGUGGGUACGGGCAGACUAGAGUGUGGUAGGGGAGACUGGAAUUCCUGGUGUAGCGGUGAAAUGCGCAGAUAUCAGGAGGAACACCGAUGGCGAAGGCAGGUCUCUGGGCCACUACUGACGCUGAGAAGCGAAAGCAUGGGGAGCGAACAGGAUUAGAUACCCU